Molecule: ribosomal RNA, 408 nt
Filed under: uncultured bacterium
Lineage: Bacteria
Description: partial 16S ribosomal RNA
Rfam family: Bacterial small subunit ribosomal RNA
Source: RNAcentral
AGUGAACGCUGGCGGCGUGCCUAAUACAUGCAAGUCGAACGAAGUGGCGCACGGGUGAGUAAUAUAUAGUUAAUCUGCCCUACACAGAGGAACAACAGUUGGAAACGACUGCUAAUACCUCAUAGUGUAGGAUGAGACUAUAUCGUAUCAGCUAGUUGGUAAGGUAAUGGCUUACCAAGGCUAUGACGCGUAACUGGUCUGCGAGGAUGAUCAGUAGAAUUGGACCGGAGGCACGGUCGAAAAUCCUUCGGGAGGCAGCAGUAAGGAAUAGUGCCCAAUGGGGGAAACCCUGACGCAGCAACGCGUCGUGGAGGAUGACACGUUUCGGAGCGUAAACUCCUUUUAUCAGGAAAGCGGUACCUGAUGAAUAAGCACCGGCUAACUCCGUGCCAGCAGCCGCGGUAAUUC